Molecule: non-coding RNA, 125 nt
Organism: Triticum aestivum (bread wheat)
Lineage: Eukaryota; Viridiplantae; Streptophyta; Magnoliopsida; Poales; Poaceae
Source: Rfam
AUAAUACUCCCUCCGUCCGGAAAUACUUGUCCGGGAAAUGGAUGUGUCUAGAUGUAUUUUAGUUCUAGAUACAUCAAUUUGUAUCAAUUUCUACGACAAGUAUUUCCGGACGGAGGGAGUAGCUA